RNAcentral lists this ribosomal RNA (303 nucleotides) under uncultured Pseudomonas sp. Its description in RNAcentral is "bacterial SSU rRNA". It matches the Rfam family "Bacterial small subunit ribosomal RNA", at positions 1077 to 1382 of the family's 1533-position model. Lineage: Bacteria; Pseudomonadati; Pseudomonadota; Gammaproteobacteria; Pseudomonadales; Pseudomonadaceae. The record is from RNAcentral.
GGGUUAAGUCCGUAACGAGCGCAACCCUUGUCCUUAGUUACCAGCACGUUAUGGUGGCACUCUAAGGAGACUGCCGGUGACAACCGGAGGAAGGUGGGGAUGACGUCAAGUCAUCAUGGCCCUUACGGCCUGGGCUACACACGUGCUACAAUGGUCGGUACAAAGGGUUGCCAAGCCGCGAGGUGGAGCUAAUCCCAUAAAACCGAUCGUAGUCCGGAUCGCAGUCUGCAACUCGACUGCGUGAAGUCGGAAUCGCUAGUAAUCGUGAAUCAGAAUGUCACGGUGAAUACGUUCCCGGGCCUU